GUAAUCGUGGAUCAGAAUGCCACGGUGAAUACGUUCCCGGGCCUUGUACACACCGCCCGUCACACCAUGGGAGUGGGCUGCAAAAGAAGUAGGUAGUUUAACCUUCGGGGGAACGCUUACCACUUUGUGGUUCAUGACUGGGGUGAAGUCGUAACAAGGUAGCGCUAGGGGAACCUGGCGCUGGAUCACCUCCUUA
This 196-nucleotide ribosomal RNA is filed under the name Vibrio alginolyticus. RNAcentral's name for it is "partial 16S ribosomal RNA". It matches the Rfam family "Bacterial small subunit ribosomal RNA", at positions 1338 to 1533 of the family's 1533-position model. The record is from RNAcentral. Lineage: Bacteria; Pseudomonadati; Pseudomonadota; Gammaproteobacteria; Vibrionales; Vibrionaceae.